RNAcentral lists this ribosomal RNA (250 nucleotides) under uncultured bacterium. RNAcentral describes it as "partial 16S ribosomal RNA". It matches the Rfam family "Bacterial small subunit ribosomal RNA", at positions 524 to 773 of the family's 1533-position model. The record is from RNAcentral.
UACGUAGGGAGCAAGCGUUGUCCGGAAUUACUGGGUGUAAAGGGAGUGUAGGCGGGACAGCAAGUCAGAUGUGAAAACUAUGGGCUUAACCCAUAGACUGCAUUUGAAACUGCUGUUCUUGAGUGAAGUAGAGGUAAGCGGAAUUCCUAGUGUAGCGGUGAAAUGCGUAGAUAUUAGGAGGAACAUCAGUGGCGAAGGCGGCUUACUGGGCUUUUACUGACGCUGAGGCUCGAAAGCGUGGGGAGCAAAC